This is a long non-coding RNA of Diceros bicornis minor, 4238 nucleotides long. RefSeq lists it as uncharacterized. NCBI's taxonomy places the organism in Eukaryota, Metazoa, Chordata, Mammalia, Perissodactyla, Rhinocerotidae. The transcript is spliced from 3 exons. The record is from RefSeq and is a predicted model, not a curated record.
CAGGGCCGGCCCCCAUCAUUGCUUCUUAAUUUUUUAGCUGGAGUACCUCUAUAAAGAAAAACUUUUCCCCUCAUCAAUGAUUAGAUUUCUCUGAAAUGCAAUCAGAAUGGGAAAGGCAGGGCAAAUAAGUCAAGAGUAUGAAAAGAGGGAAGAAGCUGUCCACUGAAAACCAGCACCCUGUUAUCAGAAGGGAGAAAGAUGUUGGACAGGUGAAAUUAGCAGAUGUCCACUCUGCCAGGAGAGGGAAUUAUUUGGUCCAAGGACUAUCUCUAUGGCUAUUAGAACAAGGAUGUUCGUUAAAUAAGUCAUUGAACAUAUGAGUCACAUAGCCAGCACAUUUUUCAAAAAUUCCAUUUUUCUAAGCAACUGUAAAAUAAUGAUUUGGUUUUCUAUAUUAAUCUGCCUCCUGAAUUUUCAGUUAUACUUGUCUUGCAAAUGAACAACUUCAUUUAGGAGUCUUUUGAAUGUGAUUAGUGGGAGCCAGCCUUCUCAAGUCAAAUCUGCUCUAGGUGUUUAAUACCAGGCAGAGUAAGGACUAGAUUCUAAACUGUGGUGAAUUCUUCGAAGUCAUACCAUCCUGGAAGGCUCUUUUGCUAAUGGUAAGCCUCUGUCUUUCCACUUAGCUCCUUCAACCUUCAGUAGUGUUAGAAUGGUGUAUUUCCUGAUAUAAAUGGAUAAACUGGCUUUUUGAUUAACAAAUGAGAUUCUGCUGUGAACUUGUAACUCUCAGGGCGGGUUAGUUCUCUAGAGUCUAAACAUUUCUGAGUGACUGAUAAAAUAUAAUUUGGAGGCCAUCCAAACCAGGACCUUAUUCCAUUCAGUAAUAUAUUAUUUUGAGAACUUCCUGAGUGUGGCUGGCUGGCUUCUCUUCUUCAUAUCUAAAAAAACAAAACAAACAAAAAAUGUAUAGUUUUAUUAUGCUUACAGGAUAGGUAUAAACAAGAAAUACAAAAUGUAAUGAAAUUUAGUGAAACUUUUUGCAAGAUCACCCAAGAACUCAAGGUUGCCAAAUACAGUGGUCACUUCCCUCAGCCUCUUAGCAGCUUUCCACACAGGGGAUCUCUUUCUUGAAAGACUUCCUUCAUGGGGCUUCCAGGAUAUUCGACUCUCCUGAUUUCCCUUCUCCUUGAAAGACUGUUGGCUUUCACUUGCCUCGGUGGGAUUGUCCUCAUCUUCCUGACCUCUAGAUUUUGGGGUUCCCAAGGCCCAGUCCUCAUCCUUCUUUUAUUCUGUCUAUGUUCAUUCUCUUGAUGACUUAAUUCAGUCUCUUAACUUUAGAUCCCACCUAUAUGGUUCGCAAAUUCAUGUUUCCAGUUCUGAUCUCGUCUCUGUACUCCAGGCUUUUGUAUGCAACUGUUGCCUUGACAUCUCCACUUGGCUAUGUAAUAGACAUCUCAAUUUUAACAUGUCAUAAAUUAAAUUCUUGAUUUCUACUUUAUCGUCACCCGCUCUCCCCAAAAGCAAAGUGAACAAUAGAAGCUACUCCUAGUGCAGUGGGGGUUGUGAGUACACUUUCAUUGACUAGCUCUGUAACUAUGAGGCAAGUUAUUAGUGAAGAUUAAAUGAAUUAAUAUAUGUAAAGCAUUUGGAAGAGUGCCUGGUACCUACUAAGAAUCAUUUAAGGGUUAACUGUUAGUAUUAUUAUUAUUGUUAUUAUUGUGUUGUCGUUGUUAUCAUCGUGGUAAAUGACCUCUCCGUUCAGCUGCUUGCUCAGGCCAAGUACUCUGGAGUCAUCCUUGAUUCUUCUCUCUCAUACCCUGUGUAAAAUUCAUCAGCAAUUUCUGUUGGCUCUACUUUCAAGUGUGUUCUGAAUCCUGUCACUUUCCACCACUUCCGUGGCUACAACCAAGUCCAAGCCAUCAUCUCCUGCCUGGAAAAUGACAAGAGCCUCCCCACUGAUCUACCUGUUUCUGCUCUUGCCUGUGUGAGGGUUAAUUUUAUGUGUCAACCUGAUUGGGCCGUGAGUGCCUGGAUAUUUAGUCAAACAUUAUUCCGGGUGUGUCUGUGAGGGUGUUUUUGGGUGAGAUUAACAUUUGAACUGGUAGAUUGAAUAAAAGAGAUUGUCCUCCCUGUUGUGGGUGGUCCUCAGCCAGUCAACUGAAGACCUGAAUAGAACAAAAAGGUAGACCCUCCAGUGAGUAAGAGAGAUCUUCUCCUGCUGAUUGCCUUGACCUGGGACAUCUUUCUUUCCUGCUUUUGGAUUUGAACUGAAAUAUCAGGUCUUUUUGGGUUUCGAGCCUGCCAGCUUUUGGACUAGAACUUUUACUGUCAGCUUUUGUGGUUCUCCUGACCUUCGGACAGAAACUGGAACUGUACCAUCUUCUCUCCUGGGUCUCCAUCCAGCUUGCUGACUGCAGAUCUUGAGACUGCUCGGCCUCCAUAAUCGUAGAGUAGACAAGCUAAGAGAAGAUGAGGGGAGAGGAAAAAAAAUAGUUCUGUUCAUUAUGCACUGAUCAUGUGCAGAGAGUUGCUGCACACUUUACUCUAGGAGGUGAGGAACCACGCGUGCUGUGCUCACCGGUCCAUCCUCAGGGUCUGGCAUGCUGCCUGCGACACGAUGCGGGCUGACCAUGAUUUGUCGAGAUCUUGAACACACAUCCCUGCUGCAAGGCUGCAUAGAAAUGGCUGGUGAAUGGGGCUGUUCUCCCUGCCCUGGGGAGUGUGUUUGUGGAGCAGCCCUGUUUGUGUCCAUGCAAAAGAAAAGCUUGACUAAACCUGCAUUGCUUUCCUUUGUUUUAUCCCACCCCUCUAUUCUCAGUGACUUUGGGAAAGCCUAGCAGAAUUUUUAUUUUCCAACAAUCAGGUUUUCACCUUGCAGGUUUGGUCCCUCUUGUGAAGGCUAGGGGAGAGGCAUCAGGGGCAGCACCUGGAAAACUGCUUAUUCUAGAAGGGAUGCAUCUGGAAUGUCUCCCUGUGUCAAGUGUUGUUACUGUAGUUGCUUGGACACUGCAAAGCAUUAUUCUUUUGGAGGCAGUGUUUGGGUUAAAUUACAGACCUACUCCCACGGAUAACAGUUCCAUGAGAAGAAAAUGUGUUUCAUAUCUUAAAAUUUCAAUUUUUACUUUUGAGACAAACUCGGGCUGGUUUUUAUUUGGCAUUUAAUGCUGUUUGUUUUAUCCACAACACUCCUUCCCAUUAGCAGAAUUAAUCAAGGGUUGAUUACACCUCCUCUACAAAGCCACUCAGGUUUUCAGUUGCUCUGUCUUCAUUGUUUCGCAUGCCUGUGACACAGCUCAUGAUCAAUCACUCACUUGAAACGUUUUGAACAACAGGGCUGCUGCCUUUCUGACCCUGGAAAGCCUGCAGAAGGCCACCAUCCUUUCAGCAUGCAGGAAGAGGUCCAUCACAGUAGCCUCAGGGUCUCCUAACUCCGAGAUAAACCCACAAACGUCAGCACCUGACCCGGGAGAAGUUUUCUUCGUUGAUGUGAUGUCCAUCCAGUUUGCUGUAAAGGGUUGUUGGUGUUGGGGCACACUACUCCUUGUAGGUGAACAUUCAGGGGUCCAGGCUGACAGUAGCUCUGUUGGCAUCAACACAAAGCUUUCAGGGUCACCGGAUGUUGACUUUCAGCUCAUAAAGGAAGAGAACGGAAAUCACUUAUGAGAGGGUUUUAUGGACCAGGUAUGGAAAUAUCUCAUAGGACUUCUGCUCACAUUCCGUUGGCUGGAACAUGGGUAUACCUGACUGUGAGGAAAGCUGGGAAAUGUGGUCCAGCUUUAAAGCCAGAAAGAAGUAGCACAAAUCUUGGUGAGGACACUGAAUUCUCUGCCUUAGUCCCUAAGCGAAUGUUAAUGACCGAGGCUUUGCACACGAGCUGUGUGACUUUUGCCUCAGGGCCCAUUUCACAUUUCUCAUAAUAGGCAUAAAAUCAAAAUGAAAUAUACAAAGUAUAUAAAGGUGCCAUGUUAGUUGUCAACUAGCAAGCACUUUACAUGUCUACAAGAAUAUAAUAAACACCUGGAUAGACCUUUCCCAGAUUUAUGUAUAUUAACGUUAUACCACAUUUGUGACUCAGAUUUGUUUUAAGAUAUGAAACAUUAUGUUGUUUGAGGGUCCCUAAGUUUUUCCCUCCAAUUCCGUUUCUCUUUCUGUUUCGUCACUAUCAUGAACUCAGUGUUUAUUAAUCUUAUGCACUGGCAUCACUUAGAAUUCAGUGCCACUCGCUUUACUGACCAGUUUACAAUCAUAGUCAGCCAAAUCUCUUGUGAGAUGAAAGGCAUGGCUUUCUGGUUAAACCA